Molecule: long non-coding RNA, 426 nt
Filed under: Equus caballus (horse)
Lineage: Eukaryota; Metazoa; Chordata; Mammalia; Perissodactyla; Equidae
Description: lncRNA (ENSECAG00000058270.1)
Source: RNAcentral
AAAUAUCAAAACAUGAAUCUGCUGAAAGUUCUUUAAGGAUUUCCCAUUGCUCUCAGGUCAAUAGUAAAUUUCUGUCAUGGGAAAACAGCAUAUUUAGUGUUUUUCAGAGUGCUGUCCUGCUCUGAUGCUGACACUCUUAGUCUCUCACCCCCUAGAUUUCCCAAGCAGGAGGGCCACUCAAUUUCUGCAUCAACCAAAUGCAAGGAACACACUUGAAGGCUCUCCAAGUGGUCCUGCUGAAGUCCCCAUCACUUCUCGUGAGUUGAGAAAAACUUAGCACUGGAACAGUUCGCUAAAGAACUCUCUUAACAAAGCCUACCCACACUCAUUUAGAAGUGGUCGAGGAGACUGAACUGAGACAAAUAACAGCCUGGGCUCUUAGUGUCAACUUGCCUGGUUUCAAACGCUUGUGCCAGAUAAUCUUGG